Molecule: transfer RNA, 85 nt
Filed under: Burkholderia glumae
Lineage: Bacteria; Pseudomonadati; Pseudomonadota; Betaproteobacteria; Burkholderiales; Burkholderiaceae
Description: tRNA-His
Source: RNAcentral
GCGGCACGUAGGCCAGGCCGGCGGCCACGCGCGCAUGCGGCGCGAGCGCGUCGAGCGCGCGGCCGUCCCAGGCGAUCGUGCCGCC